This 4267-nucleotide long non-coding RNA is filed under the name Nicotiana tabacum (common tobacco). RNAcentral's name for it is "long non-coding RNA (NTAB_LNC006677)". The record is from RNAcentral. Lineage: Eukaryota; Viridiplantae; Streptophyta; Magnoliopsida; Solanales; Solanaceae.
CUCUUUCGAUUCAGAUUCCGAUUCCACAAUCUCCCUCGAAGGGUCAACAACUCUUGUGUCCAAGUCUUUGCUAGCCAUGGCUACCUUGCUCUUUGACCUUGUGUUGUACAGAUGACUCGCCAAAGUUCCACAAACUAACCACCCUCUGUUAUGAUAAUAAUGAAAGUAACAAAGGGGAGCAAAACAAAGCCAACAUAUUAGCGUUAGGGCAUUUAUCAGAUAGAAAUAUCAUAUUGCAUGCAAUACCCCUAGCAACAAUUAACGGUUCUAGAAUGACUUCGAGGGUUACAAUGUCAUUUGGCAUCAUCUCAAUGUUGUUCAUUUCAAUUUUCUCUUUUCUUUCUUUUCUAGUACUUCUUGGCUCUCUCAUUUUCCUCUCUCUUUUUCUUUUUAAUUGUCACUCUUUUCCUUCCUCUCACUUCUCACAUUCACAAUUUCAUCUUCUUUUUUUCUCUUUUUUUAGCCUUUUAAAAAAAUGAUUCGAUCGAACCCUAUGUAGGUUGUCUACGUAUCAUGUCCCUCAUGAAUCAGAUCAAAUGUAGUUCUAAAAAAGUAAUGGACAAAAUAAACUAAGAAACAAAAAUCUUUUUGAAUUUUUCAUUUUUAAUUUUUUUUGGUUUUUCAAAUACAAAAUAGAAUUUACGAUAAUGAAAGACUCAAAAAACUCAAAUAGACUAUGAUAGUCUCUGACAUCACCUAAAAGACCCAGUACUACAGGACAGGAUUACAAAGGGAAAGACAAACAUAAAAACAGACUCAAAACAUAAAAAGGCUCUUUAAGCAGCUCCUGAAUGCAAUAGUCCUGGGGUAUCUGUCAUGCUCGAGUACUAGUACAUGGAUACACACCUGAAUGAGAAAAAUAAGACCAAAUAGAUUAGUGACUCAAGACAUUAUGGAACCUCCUAUUGACACAUGCAAGAAAUGAUUGGUCUAUUUUUGCAAAAUGGCAUAUGUGGCCAAAAGUGACUAUUAGUGCUAACUCAAAAUAAAGGUGACCUCAAAGACAAUGAAAAUACCUCACUAAGACUUAUAUGGAUUCAAACUCCCGAUAAUCAUGACCCAAAAUUAAUUUGCAGAAAUAACUCAUUCUGGCAAAAAUGACCAAUAUGGCCAAAAGUGGAUAAAGAUGCAAACUCAAAAAGGAUGAACCUUAAAGUAAUAUGACACCUAGUUGUGGACUCAAGAACCUAAGACAUGGGUCAUUGAACCACUUUUGCAAAAAUGACCCCAUUUUGCAAGAAUGACCGAUGUGGCCAAAAGUGACUAGACAUGCAAAUUCAACAGGAAUGGGCCUUGAAGUAAGGAGACAGCUAAUUGUGGAUUCUAGACUCUCCAAAUUCGAUUCAACAAGCCACUUCGCAAAAUAGCUCUAAUUUGCGACAAGACCGAUAUGGCCAAAAGUGGCUAGACAUGUAAGAUUUGGCUAAGACCCUACGAAGCCAAGAACCUAAGACUUACUAUGAAGACCGGACCCUAUGUGGGCUGCCUACGUAUCCCGCCCUGAAAGACGAGAAUCAGGUAUGCGUAGUUCAGGAAGAUUGAAUACAGAAAGUAAUUAAAAAAAACUGAUUUGGAGAAAACAUAUUUUUUUUGUUUUUCUUUUGUUUUUUGUUUUUUGUUUUUUGUGAAAUAUGUAAAAUCUUUUUGGAUUUUCUUUUCUCUUUUUUUUUUGAAAAAUGAUGGGAAAGUGCAAAAUCUUUUUGGAUUUUUCAUUUUCAUUUUUUGUCUUUUUCUUGAAAAAAAUUGUGAAAGAAAAAUAUAAUUGGGCUUUACUUGUUUCAUCUUUAUACUUCACCCUCUUUCCCAAACAUCAGUCCGCCAAAUGACCUCCUACCCUGAAAGAUGCAACAUGUAUCACAUAAGAAUGAUUGAAUGUCUUUUUGGGUCACGAGCCCAUUUUGACAAAAUUUGGAUAGGCCUCCUACAGAGGGACACGGUACCUGGGACCGAACCCUGCUAAGUGUAAAUGACAUGAUGCAAAUAAGCAUGACCUAAAGGCUGACCUAAGUUUGGGGUUCACUAGACAAGGCAAUUCGGGGCGACACGUGGUCGAUGGCGGUUGGUCUAACUGUCCGUCCACUCCCACGCCACCCCCUAAAGACACGGGUAACUCACAAAAAGGUCAUGUAUGCUCAAACGUACUCCGGAAGACUUGUUACAGAAAAAGACCCAUGGUUAUGUAGAUGAUGACAAUUAUAAAGCGGUAAACACAUAAGGAAAAGCAUAAACAAAUAACCAACAAAACAGCAAAUAAGACAAACAAACCAAAUAGACAAAGCAAAUAAAAAAAAUAAACACCUCAACCGAAUAUCCUAAAAGUCAACAAGAUCAAGUAUCAGCUCGAACCUGCAACUCCCCAGCAGAGUCGUCAAAGCUGUCAAACCCCUUUUUCACAAACCUCACUAACCCUCUUUAAAUCAAUAAAAAGAUUUUUGAAGCUCAAAAGGGUUUUCAAACUUGAAAAGUGACAAAGAAUUGUGUUCAAAAGGAUUAACUCAGAGUCGCCACCUAACAUUGGUUUCGGUGUGCUAGGUCACCGUAUUUUUUAAAAAUGAUUUUUCCUUUUAAAACACUUUGGACUCUAAAACUAAGUCUGCACCAUAGAUUCAGGUAAGGGAGUACAAUUGACUCGGGGAGAAGGUAUUAGGCAUUCCCCGAGUUCCGUAACUAGUAUGGUUGCAUACAUGAUCAAGUUGGCAUUCAAAAUAUUCAAACUGAGAUAAAAAACACAGAGAAGGGAAAAUAAACACACAAGAGGCUCGAGGUCAUCUCCACCUAAAAAAGGAGGUAAAAAUUAAAUAAAAUAAGAAUAAAAAGUACUACGAGUUCGCUUUCGGCCUCCAAUUACAGAAUACUACGGGGCAUUCCCCGGAAUAAAAUAUAUACAAAUCCUUUGGGGCAUUCCCUGGAUAAAUUUAACUAAGGGAACGACCUCUCACCUCAAAACUAACAAAAAUCCUAAGGCUUGCCUACCCAAGUGUGUUCGGCCUAAACAUACUCCUAUCAAAGAAAUAAAAAUGAAAUAGUGAACAUGUAAAACUCAAAUCUCAGUUGUUUUUUACUUAAGAUCCCAAAAAUAUGUCCCCAUACAAAAUCACGUCUUUCUAAAGUAUCUUCAUGUCAAUUAACAGAAUGGACAAGAAAAUUAAUGAAAACAUUUAGAGCAAUCAUGAGGAAUUGAAAAGCAACAUACAUUGAAUUAACAAAAAAUUACAAUGAGAUCAAACCCCUAAACAAAAUAAAUACUCCAGCACUAAAAUUCUUGUUUUCAUGAUUCUUAUGAAAGAAAGCAAUAGCAUACUGCUACACUUUAUCGGAAAACAAAAAUGAGUGAUCCUAACAAUUCAUAUUAGUCGCGGCGUGAUGGCGCCUUGUUAAAAUUAAAGCUAGCAGGAAGCACCCAAGACUAACUAGAGGCAUGAGUCACGGAUUCCAAUUUAGAGCACAUGAAACUUACACAUGAAAUUGAAAUGAGCCUAAUAGUUCAAUCGAAAUUUAAGCUAAAAGCUAAAGAAAUCAGUAAAUGAAAUGUCAAACAAACUAUGAGAUCAAAGAACCAAUCUACAUAUUUAGAACCUACGCCAAAUUUGUUAUUUGUAAUUGAAACUAAUCAAACUACAAUAAGGGAGAAAAUCAAUAGUAGAAAAAUUAGCUAUGCCAAGAAGUCAUGCUGAUUGCUGCAAUUUCAGUACAUUUAAUUUAGCUUUACAGAUCUAAUGCAAGAGGCAUACAUAACACAGAAUCACGAUAAAUCAGAAAAAUAUCAGUUCAUAUAGUAAGAUUACUGUGAUGACAAAUAUGUCAAGAAGAACGGACCUGAGAUAGUCUUUUAAUUAGUGAAACUCAUCAGUUACAACAACUAAAUAGAAAUGAUGAUUCUGGAAUUGAAACCUUCAACGUGAAAACUUCAAACAAAAGCAGCGAAAUGCCACCUUUGACCUCAAACAAUGCCCCAAUCAGAUGAACUCGAUCUGACCUCAAACUUAAUCGAAUUCAUAGUCGAAAACCAAAAAUCAUAGAAGGAAAGGUGAAAAUCUAAACCAAAACCUUGAAAAUAUCGGCCCUCUCUGCCCGAAUUCUUCUGUCCGAUUUUCUCCUCUCUCGCUCCCUGUGUAUAUGCGGCUGUGUGUGUCGAGUUCCUGGCGUGGAGGAGAUGUGGUGGGUCUUAGGUUGAAGCUUAGGGUUGCGGCUCUUAUGAAGUGAAGAAGAAGAGCCGCUCCUGGAGGUGUCUUUCUCUUAGGGAUUUUUUUAGGGGUUUUUGGGUUAG